UUAUUAUUAAUAAUAAUAUGAUAUUUUAUUAUUUAUGACGUUUAAAUAAAAAUCUUCCUCUUUUAGGCUUAUUACAGAAUUCAUGGAUUAAAUUAUUAAUGUAGGGGCAAUGUCUAAACCGGUUUAAUUUUGAAGGCGUUCACGUUAGCAGCAGUCUCCCGUCCUCGCUUCGCUCCGCUAUGUUCAGCUCCAGUACCUCACGGGGGCUGCAGCCGCAGGUAUUCAACAAGGAGGAAGGACGGCGUUCACAAAACCCAAACGAGCGGAUUAAGAUAAAGGAACCAAAAGGAUUUACAAAAAACACUGACAGCCUGCAUGAGUUGAUAGAGACCACUGGAGAGAGGCGUGUGGUGACAGCAGUUGCUCUCGCACAGUGAUUAGCUGCUACCUUGAAGACUGCAAGCUUUGGAAUUACUGAGCUUUAAAAGUUUCUGAGCUUUGUGGCUCCAGAGGAAUUCACUGAGGGUAAGUCUGUCUCUCUCUCGUUCAGAGCCUUGCUCUGUCUCUCCCCACCUGUUUGUGGAAUUCAGCCUGUGUGCUCCUACAGCCUCCAGCCAUGCCUCUCCAUGCCUGAGCAAGCCACUCUGUCACAAGUCAUGUAAAGUCAUAUAAACUCUCUCUCUCUCUCUCUCUCUCUCUCUCUCUCUCUCUCUCUCUCUCUUUCUCUCUCUUUCCUUCUCUCUCCUUCUCUCUCCCUCUCUCACUGCUUUAGAGUUUUAAAGUUAAUUAUUUUAGUUGGAGAUAGAUAAG
RNAcentral lists this long non-coding RNA (750 nucleotides) under Astyanax mexicanus (Mexican tetra). Its description in RNAcentral is "lncRNA (ENSAMXG00005016682.1)". The record is from RNAcentral. Lineage: Eukaryota; Metazoa; Chordata; Actinopteri; Characiformes; Acestrorhamphidae.